This 1832-nucleotide long non-coding RNA is filed under the name Vigna radiata. RNAcentral's name for it is "long non-coding RNA (VRAD_LNC000192)". The record is from RNAcentral. Lineage: Eukaryota; Viridiplantae; Streptophyta; Magnoliopsida; Fabales; Fabaceae.
CUGCCUCAUCACCAUUGUAUUUGCCGAGGGUUGGAUCAAUCAAUUCCAUUAGUCUCCCUCCUUGAUAAAGCGACCAUGCCUACAAUAUUCAAUGAAGAAAAUGAACAAGUGUGAGUGAAAUGGUCACAUUAUUUUUCUUAAUGAUUGGUUUGAGUGUAUGUUUUGAAAUUCAUCCUCUGACCACUUUAAGUCAAAUAACAGGGACUAUACAUGUCAAGGUCCCAUAUGUUUUGUUGUGCAGUUUCAUACGUUAGAUUUCACCAGAAAGAUUUCAAUACAAAAAUUUACAGUUUGCCAGCAAAGACAAACCAAAUCAUACGAUUGCAGAUCAUCAACGACAUCUUUUUUUGUGUGUGUACAGUAGUCACCGUGAGGUUAGAACCCUUAGAACCCAUAACAAAUGGUUCCCAGAGACAUCGGAUCAUAAUACAUAAUCAAAAAAUAGCAAAGCUGGCAAACAAAUCCACGUCAAAUGAAAUAUGAUCAUAAUCACGAUCACUUCCCCGACAAAAGUUGGUAAAAGGAAAUAUUGGCUUAUCCAGAAAACAAAGUUGGGAUUUCCGGCAUGUGACCUUUAUCCAUACCUCAAAGUCAUUUGAAAUUUGUACCUUGAUCAUAGAAUAAGAUAAAUUUUAACACGAGUGCUCUAGUGGACAUGACUCCACUAUUCUGGAUUCCAGGUAGAAAGGGUUAAAUCUAUACUACUUCAAUCCAUGUAGGGGGAGAGAGCUUAAUUUGUGACUAGAGUUGUGACCUACCCAGUUUACAUUAUCCCAAGGUUCACCCUUAAGCAGCCAUAAAUGGUAGCCGAGAAAGACUUGUGGAAGCAGUUGUGUCACAGAAUUAAUUCAGAAGCAUGCUUGUUUGGGUAACCUUAACAUAUAUAAGUGAAUAUCAAGAACAAGCAUCAUUACUAAUGUAAUGACACAAAAGUUUUCCAUUUUAUUAAAAUCGUCAGCACAACUUAGAAAAUAUGCAUUUUUCUUGGUAAAAAAUAUGUACGUUAAUUAAACUAUAACAAGAAUCUAAGUCCAUGAGAAUAAGUUGUCCAUACUAAAUUUGCAUUGAUGUCUGCAAUCCGAUCAACUUACAUAGCUCAAGAGAUCUGCUUUUUCUGGUCCAAGUCGCAUAUCUUGGUUUUUUCUCCCACUAAUUAUUUCCAACACCAGGACUCCAUAACUGAAAACAUCCGUCUUCACUGACAGAUAUCCUCGCAAUGCAUAUUCAGGAGCCAUGUAACCACUGUAUUCAUCAAAUAUAAAGUGUAAGGAUACCAACAUCUGAAUGACAAGCACCAAGAAGGGAAGAGUCUACUCACUGUGUACCGGAAAUCUUAAAUGUCUGUACGUGAGUGUCCUCCCCAGGAAACAGCCUUGCCAAACCAAAGUCUGAAAUUUUCGGAAUUAAAUUGUCAUCCAACAAUAUGUUACUAGCUUUAAUGUCCCUGUGUAUAAUUCUUUCUGGUGCCUCUUCAUGCAGGUAGAGAAGUCCUCUUGCCACACCAGUAACUAUUCUGAAUCGUUUUGCCCAGUCCAAAGAUGAAGACUUCCUCUUAUCUGAAAAAAAUUGCCUUACAACUUUUGUCAAUCAUUUUCUACAAGCAACCACAAAACAAAAGUAAAUAAAUAGAUGAAGAAACAUCUCUUUUCAAUACCAAACAGAAAGUGAUCAAGACUUUUGUUAGGUAGAUACUCAUAGACAAGCAUCUUUUCAGGCCCUUCUGCACAACAACCAAGUAAUGUAACCAAGUUCUUGUGCUGAAUUCUGAGUAGUAGCCUGACUUCGUUGGUGAAUUCUUUAACUCCUUGCCUAGAUUCCAUUGACAGCUUCUU